This 247-nucleotide non-coding RNA is filed under the name Brassica napus (rape). RNAcentral describes it as "Eukaryotic large subunit ribosomal RNA". It matches the Rfam family "Eukaryotic large subunit ribosomal RNA", at positions 1 to 247 of the family's 3401-position model. Lineage: Eukaryota; Viridiplantae; Streptophyta; Magnoliopsida; Brassicales; Brassicaceae. The record is from Rfam by way of RNAcentral.
GCGACCCAUGUCAGGCAGGAUCAUCCACUGAGUUUAAGCAUAUCAAUAAGCGGAGGAAAAAAACUAACAAGGAUUCCCUUAGUAACGGCGAGCGAACCGGGAAUAGCCCAACUUGAAAAUCGGACGUCUUUGGCGUUAGAAUUGUAGUCUGGAGAAGCGUCCUCAGCGACGGACCGGGCCCAAGUUCCCUGGAAAGGGGCGCCAGAGAGGGUGAGAGCCACAUCGUGCCAAGACCCUAUCGCACCAC